GUGGGGAAUCUUCCGCAAUGGACGAAAGUCUGACGGAGCAACGCCGCGUGAGUGAUGAAGGUCUUCGGAUUGUAAAGCUCUGUUAAUCGGGACGAAAGAGCCUAGUGUGAAUAAUGCUAGGAAGUGACGGUACCGGAAUAGAAAGCCACGGCUAACUACGUGCCAGCAGCCGCGGUAAUACGUAGGUGGCAAGCGUUGUCCGGAAUUAUUGGGCGUAAAGCGCGCGCAGGCGGAUCUGCCAGUCUGUCUUAAAAGUUCGGGGCUUAACCCCGUGAUGGGAUGGAAACUACAGAGCUAGAGUAUGGGAGAGGAGAGUGGAAUUCCUAGUGUAGCGGUGAAAUGCGUAGAUAUUAGGAAGAACACCAGUGGCGAAGGCGACUUUCUGGACGAAAACUGACGCUGAGGCGCGAAAGCCAGGGGAGCGAACGGGAUUAGAAACCCUAGUAGUCC
RNAcentral lists this ribosomal RNA (450 nucleotides) under uncultured bacterium. RNAcentral describes it as "partial 16S ribosomal RNA". It matches the Rfam family "Bacterial small subunit ribosomal RNA", at positions 354 to 796 of the family's 1533-position model. The record is from RNAcentral.